RNAcentral lists this ribosomal RNA (800 nucleotides) under uncultured bacterium. Its description in RNAcentral is "bacterial SSU rRNA". It matches the Rfam family "Bacterial small subunit ribosomal RNA", at positions 8 to 789 of the family's 1533-position model. The record is from RNAcentral.
AGAGUUUGAUCCUGGCUCAGAAUCAACGCUGGCGGCGUGCCUAACACAUGCAAGUCGAACGCGAAAGGGACUUCGGUCCUGAGUAGAGUGGCGAACGGGUGAGUAACGCGUGGGUGACCUACCCUCGAGUGGGGGAUAACGUUCCGAAAGGGACGCUAAUACCGCAUGACAUUCCUGGUUUGAAGACUGGGAAAUCAAAGCCGGGGACCGCAAGGCCUGGCGCUUGAGGAGGGGCCCGCGUCUGAUUAGCUAGUUGGCGGGGUAACGGCCCACCAAGGCGACGAUCAGUAGCCGGCCUGAGAGGGCGGACGGCCACACUGGGACUGAGACACGGCCCAGACUCCUACGGGAGGCAGCAGUGGGGAAUUGUUCGCAAUGGGCGCAAGCCUGACGACGCAACGCCGCGUGGAGGAUGAAGGUCUUCGGAUUGUAAACUCCUGUUGAUCGGGACGAAAAGCUCCAACCUAAUACGUUGGAGACUGACGGUACCGGUUGAGGAAGCCACGGCUAACUCUGUGCCAGCAGCCGCGGUAAUACAGAGGUGGCAAGCGCUGUUCGGAAUUACUGGGCGUAAAGGGCGCGUAGGCGGCCUUCUAAGUCGGACGUGAAAGCCCCAGGCUUAACCUGGGAACUGCGUCUGAUACUGGGAGGCUUGGAUUCGGGAGAGGGAUGUGGAAUUCCAGGUGUAGCGGUGAAAUGCGUAGAUAUCUGGAGGAACACCGGUGGCGAAGGCGGCAUCCUGGACCGAGAUCGACGCUGAGGCGCGAAAGCUAGGGGAGCAAACGGGAUUAGAUACCCUG